Non-coding RNA from Prunus avium (sweet cherry), 501 nucleotides. NCBI's taxonomy places the organism in Eukaryota, Viridiplantae, Streptophyta, Magnoliopsida, Rosales, Rosaceae. The record is from RefSeq and is a predicted model, not a curated record.
AGUGUGCAACAAGGUACUUGACUUAUCCUUACCGCCCUAAGCCUCUCUUGUUCUCGCUCUCCCUUGCUCGUUUCUCUCUAUCUCUGGCUCCCACGUCGUAGCACAAACAAACGGAGAGCUAGUUUGGAAAUUGAGCCAUGGCAUCCCAGAUAAUUAGAGAAUGGGCUGGAAUAAAUAGCUUCGCACCUGCCACCCAGACUAAGUUGCUUGAAUUGCUGGGAAAACUGAAGCAAGAGAAUGUGAACAGUUUGACCAUUCUUGUGAUGGGGGAAGGUGGAGUUGGAUAAUCUUCCACUGUCAAUUCACUCAUUGGUGAGGGCUGUUUCUAUAAGUCCUUUUCAGUCUGAAGGAACAAGAGCUGUGAUGGGAUCUGAUGCUCAAUGAAUGGUUGGGAUUGGUACUAAAACACAACCUUUUAUUUGGUCAUUUCUUGAUCCAUCCCACCAACUGAAGAACCCAUUUCUUUUCUUCCCCAAAUCAGUCUACUUCUGAGUGGUGAUU